AACGAACGCUGGCGGCGUGCCUAACACAUGCAAGUCGAGCGCGAAUGGAGCAAUCCUAGUAGAGCGGCGCACGGGUGCGUAACACGUGGAUAAUCUGCCUGGAAGACCGGAAUAACCUGCCGAAAGGCUGGCUAAUACCGGAUAAGCCUACGGGGACUUCGGUCCCUGGAGGAAAAGGUGGCCUCUGUACACAAGCUAUCACUUCCAGAUGAGUCCGCGGCCCANCAGCUAGUUGGCGAGGUAACGGCCCACCAAGGCAACGACGGGUAGCUGGUCUGAGAGGACGAUCAGCCACACUGGAACUGAGACACGGUCCAGACUCCUACGGGAGGCAGCAGUGGGGAAUUUUGCACAAUGGGCGAAAGCCUGAUGCAGCAACGCCGCGUGUGUGAAGAAGGCCUCGGUUG
This 407-nucleotide ribosomal RNA is filed under the name uncultured bacterium. RNAcentral's name for it is "bacterial SSU rRNA". It matches the Rfam family "Bacterial small subunit ribosomal RNA", at positions 29 to 425 of the family's 1533-position model. The record is from RNAcentral.